GAACUUUAUUGGGAAAGCCUCCAUGCUAUCCAGUUUGACAGUUGGAGAGCUAGCUAGUCGAUGAAGGAAGCCUUUGUUACGUUCAGUCUGUAGACUCUGAUGACAAGCAGCCUUGAGAGGGGUUUUCCAGCCUCUACCUGGCAGACAGUUCCAGUAUUGGGGCGCUGAAGGUCCCAGAACAAGAAGAACUGGAGGAAGCUGGAUGGUGAGACUGGGAAGCACUUUAGUCAUUCAUUAAAUUGUUGCUGUUCUCAAGUUCGAUCUCCCACAGGAUUUCUGUUAUAGUUCCCUAACACAUCUGAUGAUAGCUGUCCUUCCCUAUACUCAAAGAUAGACACUGGUGUGUAUGUGAGUACAGACAUACACACACACUCACACAAACACACACCCACACAAACAUACACACAUACUCUCACAUACCCCCCACACACACACAGUUCACACACAUAAAUACACACACUUACACAAACACACACUCACAACUCACACACACAUAAGUACACACACACUCACACAUUUAAACACACGCACACACACACACACACACACACACACACACACACACACACACACGGGUGGGGAGAAGAGAACUUUACUUUUUGGAUAACCGCCUCUCUCUCUUAUGAACCAACUUCUAAAUCUACUUUUAAGGAGCACUGUAAACCUCCCUCCCAUGUCUGUCUGGCCACUAAAGGUGCUGCAUACCCACCCCACCUCUGCCUCCUUCCCAUCCCCAGAGCCUGCGGGAGGGUGGAGAAGAUACAGGCCUGGCUCCUGCAUGCUGGUCAUGGCCCUUAGGAACGGCCUUGGGUUUGUCAGGAGUACACUGGAGGGGCGAAAGCCAGGGCAGUGUGUAGAGACUUCUUUGGGCAGAAGAGAUGGUUCAGUGGUUAGGGUUAUGCACUUUUCUCCCAAAGAUCCUAGUGUUUGGUUUAGGGUGGAAGCUGAGAAAACUCACUUCAGAUACGGAAGCUUAAAAAUGAAAACUUUAUUUUCUGGCCACUCAGGAUGAAGGCCAGUUCGGGAUCUGAGCCACAUCCCCAAAGAGAGAUUGUAUAACCUUUUUAAGGGAUGAGAACACAAAGUGAGCGGGAAGCUGCAGUGUUAUCCGAUUCUAUUCUGACAUUAUGGGUUAAGCAAGGGAAAAGAGACUAGGCUUGUCUGGGGCACCUGGCUUCAGGGUCCUUAAUUCAUUCUCCUAGACAUUAGUUCCGGAGCUCAGAGUGAGAAGGGGACAAAGGAGCGGGUCAGCCGCACAUAGCUAAUUAGAGCAUAACAGGCAAUUGAUUGUAUAUUUUUACAACUUAUACACCUUGGUUUAGAUAAUAGCAGUUUCUAUAUUCUUCUGGGAACGUGAAAGUGUUUGAUCCUGCUGGCAAGACGGAAAAGUUGUCCCUGAGAUGGCUGGACUCAGACAACUGUUUACAAGAGAAGCUGUUCGGCUGUGGGGGAGUCCCCAGCUUCCCUGGGGCCUGGGACCUCGAGUGUAGUUCCUCCCUAUGGUUAGACGGAGGCUUAGUACUUAGAAUUCUUUUGCUUGUUCCCAGCGCUAGGGUAAGUACUGGACCCUCAUAAUCAUCUGUACAUAACUCCUGCACCAGGGGACUCCGUGAGCACCUGUACUCAUGUGUGUACAUUUCCACACAGACACUCUUUAAAAAAAAAAAAACUUGGAGGGAAACUUUGCUGACAGCCUAGGCGCGCAGUGAGUUCAAAGCCCGCUGGCCUUCAGUGUUGGACACGGCCAAGGCUGAUGGGAAGGAAACCAUUCUUUGCAUGUUGACUUGUGAGGAGGCCAGAGGUUAACCCCCCUUUCUCAUGGUGUCCUUUUGUGCUGGUCCCCACAUGUAACCCAGCCCUGUCCUACAGCUUGUGGGUCUUGUUCUCCCUCUUGCCACUGCAGUCCUCUGACCCUUUUCCUUGUCAAAGAUGUCACUCGUGGGCUCACUUCUGGAACCGACCUUCCCUCAGGAAGGACACCUGAUCGCCCAUGCCUUCCCGCCCAGGACCCUACCACACCUGUGCUGUGAGCUUCUUUGUCCUAACUCCCAAGCCCCCCAGCUUUAAAAGCUGUCUGACUGGCAUUCAUCAGUGGAAUCAAAAGUUCAGAUGUCAAGGACGCCAGACAGCACCCAGCAACCGCGGAGCAACACACGUGAAGUCUAGCUUCCUAACGCAAGUCUUUCUGCCACUAGCUAGAACACUUUAUGACACCGCCUGUCCCAGAAGUUCUGUGGGGCAGACAUGAAGGUAGAGGACUCUGGCCUCCACUGCUGAUGUGCUCUCACACACCUUUGAUCUUCUCUAGAACCUUCUAUCAGGUUUGCUUCUUCCCGAGGAAUAUCCUCUGGCUUCUUGCCAGCAAUCUGUCUCGAUGCUAUGGACUAAACUGCCCGUUAGCAAUUAGUCUGGACUUUAGUUGUUUUCGAAAGAUGAAUUGAGACGUAAUUUUCUAAUUAACAGUGGUUGUCAAAUAAAGGGGGACAAAGUCUCCGUCUGGGCCUCGAGAAGGCCACAGCAUGGCAGGCUGGAGCCUCUCGAGGAUAAAUGUGAGGAACCAGUGGCUCAGAAAGCAAUUAGCUUGUGGCUUCUGUUGCUGAUGGGGGAGCCGUGCAGAGCAGAGCGGGCCUGCUGGGGAGUGGAGCUCAGAUGGGGCGAGCUAUGGCGGUUGAGCUAGCAGAACGGAUGCAGGGACACACUCCAAGGACUCUCCGCACGUGCAUGCUCAUACUGCCAUCACGCCGUGUGAUGGAACACGUCUGAGUUUGUGUUGUUGGUGCCUGGGUUAAACAUGUAAUAGCUACCAAUGUCUGUUCUAGAUAAUAACCCUUGAAGGCACAAGGGUGAGAGAUAUUUGUCAUGGGGCUUACAGGCACAGGGGGACGUGUUUUCAGAAUGGUUACUCCCCGCGAGGCUGUCUUAACUCAAGCCUGGUGGUAUUUCUAAGGUGUCAUUUGUAUUAUUGCUUGUGUGACUCCUGGCUCCUCCUCCCUCUCCCCGCACGGAUGACUGAACCUAGCCGCUCACAUAAGACAGACGAGCCUUUCCCACAAAGCUGCUUCCCAACUCUCUUUUAACUUUUGUUUUGAAACAGGAGGUCACAGGUCAUGAACUCAUGGCCCCUCUGCCUCAACUUCCCAGAUAGCUUGGAUGACAGGCCUGUGCCACCGGGCCUGGCUGUGACUCUGCUUCCGCUUUCUCAAUGGUCCCCUUUGGUCAUGUGCUGAUGCCACAGGGCAACUAAUGUCACAGAGGACCUGGGGGAGGGGGACAUCUCAGUUUUGACUCUUGGCUCAGGGUCUGGCUGGCACCUCAGGCCUCCAUAUGUCUGCUUCUUUCAGGUCUCAGUAGGGACCUGACCAGACACAGAGGGCACUGGGGCAUCUAGAAAGGGCCAGUUUCUUACUUGAC
RNAcentral lists this long non-coding RNA (3411 nucleotides) under Mus pahari (shrew mouse). Its description in RNAcentral is "lncRNA (MGP_PahariEiJ_G0003418.1)". The record is from RNAcentral. Lineage: Eukaryota; Metazoa; Chordata; Mammalia; Rodentia; Muridae.